Molecule: RNA transcript, 3095 nt
Organism: Panicum virgatum (switchgrass)
Lineage: Eukaryota; Viridiplantae; Streptophyta; Magnoliopsida; Poales; Poaceae
Gene name: ATP-dependent DNA helicase Q-like 2
Exons: 22
Source: RefSeq, a predicted model, not a curated record
CUCGCCAGCCGAUCUCUGGCCUCCGCCUCCUCCCCGGCCAUCCACCCCGCCAUCGGCCGCCCAGGCGCUCGCGGCCCCCCUCCCCGGUCGCGGCCGCCCUGGCGCCGGCCGUCCCCACCAGCCCGAGCAGCCCGGCCCAAUACGGAGUCUUCUUCCUCGCGACGCCGCCGUCCUCAUUCUCGACGCUUCCUCUUGUUUGCACCAAAGGCCGGCGGCGGCGGCGGCGGGCAGCGUACUCGGAUCCUGUAGGGCCGCGGAAGUCGCCAAGGCGCCGGAACUGGGGACGUGGGAAGGCAAGACGCUGGUCCAACGGCAGUGCCCAGGACAACGAGGCGGCGAGCAGGCACUGGUUCGUGGGUUAUCGACUGGGUCAGUGAGGAACACCUGAAUUCUUUUUUUACAAUUCGAAACUUCUCAAGCCGUUAGAGCUGAGACAUGGAAGAUGAAGAAAACAUUGAGGAGGAACUGUUUCUUGUGGAGUCGCAACUCCAUGACAUUCAAGGUCAAAUUAAAACAUUACUUGAUCGCCAAGAGGAGUUGUAUGAGCGACAGUUACAGUUAAAGGCUUUGCUAGAAGUAUCUAAGAUGUCCAGAAACAAAUCAAAUUAUGGAUCUUCAGUUACUCUGGAAGAUUGGUCUGGGAGCUUCCCAUGGGAUUCUCAGGCUGAUGAUACACGAUUCAAUGUAUUUGGCAUCACCUCCUACCGAUCAAAUCAACGAGAAAUAAUUAACACAGUCAUGAGUGGAAAAGAUGUUCUGGUCAUAAUGGCUGCUGGUGGUGGGAAGAGCCUGUGUUACCAACUCCCAGCUGUACUUUGUAAUGGAAUUGCAUUGGUUGUCAGCCCUUUACUUUCUCUUAUCCAGGACCAGGUCAUGGGACUGGCAGCUUUAGGUAUACCAGCAUACAUGCUGACUUCAACUACCAACAAGGAAGUUGAGAAGUUCAUCUAUAGGGCACUUGAUAAAGGUGAAGGAGAAUUGAAGAUAUUGUAUGUGACACCAGAAAAGAUAUCGAAAAGUAAAAGGUUCAUGUCUAAGCUUGAGAAAUGCCAUCAUGCUGGACGUCUUUCUCUCGUUGCAGUAGAUGAGGCACACUGCUGUAGUCAAUGGGGCCAUGAUUUUCGCCCAGACUACAAGAAUCUUGGCAUUUUAAAGAUCCAAUUUCCUAGUGUUCCCAUGAUAGCUCUAACUGCAACUGCAACAAGUAAAGUUCAAAUGGAUUUGAUAGAGAUGCUUCAUAUCCCGAAGUGUGUCAAGUUUGUUAGCACAGUUAACAGGCCCAACCUUUUCUAUAAGGUAUAUGAAAAAUCACCUGUUGGAAAGGUUGUGAUUGAUGAGAUCGCAAAUUUUAUAAGUGAAUCAUACCCAAAUAACGAAUCUGGAAUUGUGUAUUGCUUUUCAAGGAGGGAAUGCGAACAGGUUGCAAAAGAAUUGUGCGAUAGGGGUAUUUCGGCUGAGCAUUAUCAUGCAGAUAUGGAUAUUAUUGCUCGUGAGAAAAUUCACAUGCGUUGGAGCCAAGGGAAAUCACAGGUCAUCGUUGGAACAGUGGCGUUUGGAAUGGGAAUCAACAAACCAGAUGUUCGAUUUGUGAUUCAUCAUAGCCUUAGCAAGUCGAUGGAGACAUACUACCAGGAGAGUGGUCGGGCAGGGCGGGAUGGAUUAUCUUCAGAAUGUGUUUUGUAUUAUCGGCCUGGCGAUGUUCCAAGGCAGAGUUCAAUGGUCUUCUACGAAAAUUGUGGCCUUCAAAACCUAUAUGACAUUGUACGAUACUGUCAGGACAGUCCAGCCAGCAAAAGACGCUUCCAUUUCAAAGCCUUUUGGCCAAGCUUGGAUGGGUUCAUGGAAACAGUUGAGGCUGCGUGGACUGCUGUACCAGCCCGCCCCUGCCCAUUGGAAACACUGUCACUGAAGUUCAAGGCAACAGCAAGGAGCUUGCAAAGUUGGAGCCAAAAGUCGUCUAAGAGGAGUUGUCGGCGUGGUGCUUUCUUUCAGCAUUUUGGAGAGGCUCUGCAGGACUGCAAUGGAAUGUGCGACAAUUGUGCUUCUAGUAUCGAGCUCAAGGAGAUAGAUGCCACCAACCAUACCAAAAUUGUAGUUUCAGUUCUACGCGACCUGAAACUUAAUGACCAAAGAGCUACAUUGUUGCAAUUGGUGGAUAAGUUCAAGGCUAAGUGGAAAGGUUUAGUUGAUAUGUUGAACCAGGUUAUUCCAAUAAAGACGUUGAUCUUAAAAGAGAAGAAAUUGAGCAGUUGAUAGUCCAGCUUAUACUCGACCAUGUUUUGAAAGAAGAAUUUCAGCAUACAGCAUAUUCAACCAAUGCGUACGUUACCUUAGGACCACUGUGGAAGCCAGCCUUGCAAGGGAACAGACCUGUGAAGCUUGAGAUUGCUGUCGAGAGUUCUCAGGAUAGAGGAGGUGGUGGUAGAUUGUCCAAAGGCGCAAAGCGCAGCUGGAUGAGUGAUCUGGAAGCUAAACUUGAUGAACUGCGCAGGGAGCUGUCGUCAUCAUCUAGUAACAGGGGCAUAAGCAUAUUUCCCCAUGCAGUUCUAUCCUCUGAGCAGAUUUCGCUCCUGAGCUGCCAAAAGCCAACCACGGAGGCGGAGCUUGAGAAGGUCAUAGGGAAGGUGAAGACGGAGAAGUACGGUGGCAGGAUCAUUGAGCUGAUGCGGUCCUAUGUCACGGAUGCAAGAGCUGGAAAUGGAGCUGAUGCCAGCAAGAGGAACAAGAAGGAUAAGGAUGUUGUCUGUGGAGAGUAGCAGCGAAGAAUAACAUUGGUCAGGGACUCCUUGGUAUCCUUUCCGCGUCUCUAGUCUCUUGGAGUGUGGUUGUCUCCUGUCGCUGCAUACAAGACACAAAAUGCAUACCUAGUGGGAUAACUUUUUUUUUCUUUUUGCGAAACAUACCCAGUCUCUUGGGGGUGUGGUUGUUUCCUGUCGCUGCAUACAAGACACAAAAUGCAUACCUGGUGGGAUAACUUUUUUUCUUUCUUUUUGCGAAACGUACAGUGGGAUAGCCUGAAUGUCUUGACACUAAAAAGUGCGUGCAAAAUUGCAAAAGGAAGAAAUAUCAUCAUAUUAUUAGUGCGCAUUGUCCUA